RNAcentral lists this ribosomal RNA (468 nucleotides) under uncultured bacterium. RNAcentral's name for it is "partial 16S ribosomal RNA". It matches the Rfam family "Bacterial small subunit ribosomal RNA", at positions 28 to 507 of the family's 1533-position model. The record is from RNAcentral.
GACGAACGCUGGCGGCGUGCUUAACACAUGCAAGUCGAACGGAAAGGUCCUGCUCUUGUGGGGUGCACGAGUGGCGAACGGGUGUGAAUCACGUGAGUAACCCGCCCCUGUCUUUGGGAUAACUUCAGGAAACUGGGGCUAUUAUCGGCUAUGAUCUCCUGCUGCAUGGUGUGGGUUGGAAAGUUUCGGCUGUUGGGGAUGGACUCGCGGCUUAUCGGCUUGUUUGUUGCGGAGUGGCUGACCAAGCCUCUGACGGAUAGGCGACCUGGGAGGGGGACCAGCGACAUGGCGACUGAGAGACGGCCCAGCCGGCUACGGGAGGCAGCAGGGGAAAAUAUUGCACAAUGACCAGAAGCCUGAUACAGAAACGCCGCGUUCGGGAUGACGGCCUUCGGGUUAAGAACCACUUUCUCCUUUAACGAGGCGGUCUUGACGGUAAUGGGUAAAGAAGCACCGGCUAACUACGUG